This is a long non-coding RNA of Capsicum annuum, 2829 nucleotides long. RefSeq lists it as uncharacterized. The record is from RefSeq and is a predicted model, not a curated record. NCBI's taxonomy places the organism in Eukaryota, Viridiplantae, Streptophyta, Magnoliopsida, Solanales, Solanaceae. The transcript is spliced from 5 exons.
UCAACUUCUUAGGGUUAACAACUAUUUUACACGGCUUCAGUUAACCUGCCAUUUUAAAAUUCCACAUUUUUUAAUGAACACUUGCCUGGACAAAACAGCAGCUUGCUAUAUUCCCAUCUUUUGAUGCUCGGAUUAGUGAAAUAGAAGUUCCAGAUAAAAGAUUCAUGUUGAUUGAUCUUUCUUAUCAUCAGUUGCACCACUUAUGUUGAUGCAAUUUUAGGGAAGCUGGACUCUGGAACAUGCAAAACUUAAGGCCAGACUUGAGAUUCUGCAGAGGAAUCAAAAGUUUGUCAAAACAGACAUAACAUAACGAUACACUUGGAUCCUACAUAUUAAUAAACAUGAUAUUGUCUGCCUUGAAGAAGAAUUGGCAAAACUUCAUAGUUUCCUCCCAGGAUGGAACUUGAAGAUUGGCUUUAUGUAACAAACACCUUCUCAUAUCAUCUACCUCAGCAAAGUUGCACUUACGCAAUUGAAAAGUGGAUUGUAUGAUAUCACAUUCUGCUUCCGAUGGCAAACACAGCAAAGGACUAUGAUGUUGUUUUGAAGUGCUUAGUUUGAGGUCUAAAUAUGUGCUUGUGGACUGGUGAGUAGGCUAUGAACUUGCUCACAUAUAGAGGAAUUUUCUUUGUAAAGGCUUUUCAUUUUUAUAUGUCACCGGAACUAAUAGUAAAUGUAGCUAUUUCAUUUGAAUGCACUAUGUGUUUGAACUAUUAAAAUCAGUUGAAGAACAAGUACUUUGUUCUUUAUUUUAGCGACAGUUAAGGAGCUGAAAUCAACAUCUUAGCUUUAAGUCUGUGUUUUUGUCUAGGGGUGUCUUGGACUAAACUGUGUGGACUCUCCAUAUUCGAUGCCAUGUCCGUGUCAGGUUAUACAAAAAUGCACUACUUUUGAAAAAUGUGGCAUACACCAGAGUCCGCGUAACAUAGACCUUGGACAUUUUCUCCUAUCUAAUGAUGCAAGAUGGUUUUCAAGUUUUAGCUGCAUAGACAUAGUGUUAUAUUUGUCAUGUUGAUGCUUUCGUUUGGUUCCAUGUGUUCUAAUUUAGAAAAUGGAGGAGAUAACUGAGGUAACGAUAAGCUGAGUGCAAGGCAGAAUGUGAUUACUACUAAUUAGUUCUUGAUGAUAGUCUGAUUUGUUCUUUGGAUCAGUACAUGAAUGUCUACGAUUAUUACAUUUAUGGUAGUCUGGUUGGUCUUAUCUGAUGUAUUUUACUUAUGCACAAACAUUUUCGAUAUAUCUUUCGUUUUAGUAGCUCCCAGUAAUUUCUUCAUCAGGUUUUGUCAAAACAGACAUAACAUAACGAUACACUUGGAAACUCCUUCUGUAAGUUGCUCAGCUACUGUCUUUCCUCGAAUAAAGUUUACUUGAAACUCCGUGGUUCCUCCUUUUCGACCAACCAUGCUGAAAAAGAAAAUGGUCCAGGAGAACUUGUGACAUCUCGUGAGUAAUGUCACUAUGGCAUCCUACAUCUGUGAAUUCAUCCGCCGGAAAAUUUUAUAGGGCGGCAGUUCGUCCGGCCAUGUUAUAUGGAGCGGAGUGUUGGCCAAUCAAAAACUCUCACAUCCAAAAAUUGAAGGUGGCAGAAAUGCAGAUGUUGCGUUGGAUGUGUGGGCUUACUAAGGGUGAUAGAGUUCGGAAUGAGACCAUUCGGGAAAAAGUUGGAGUGGCUUCGGUGGAGGACAAGAUUCGGGAAGUUCGAUUGAGAUGGUUCGGACACGUGAUAAAGAGGGGUACGGAUGCCCCGGUUCGUAGGUAUGAGCGGCUAGCAUUGGAUGGAUUCAGGCGGAGUAGGGGUAGACCGAAGAAAUACUGGAAAAAGGUUAUUAGGCAGGACAUGGAGCAGUUGCAGCUCACUGAGGACAUGACCCUAGAUAGGAAGAUCUGGAGGACGCGAAUCAGGAUGGAAGGUUAGUGAUAGUUUGGGUCGUUGGGGUAGGGUAAUACUGGGUGGGUGUAUUUUUCUUGUUAUGCCACAUUGUUGCAUGUCUUAUUACGUAUUUGUUUACUAUUCUUUGUUUAUUAUCCUUUGUGGGUGGAUUAGUUAUGUCUUUUUCAUCUUUUCUCAUGCUUUAUUUCGGAUUUAAUUAGUAUUUCGUGUCGUGAGCUGGGGGUCUAUCGGAAACAGCCUCUCUAUCUCAUCAGAGGUAGUGGUAUGGACUGCGUACAUUUUACCCUCCCCAGACCCCCACUAUGUGGGAAUACACUGAAUUUAUUGUUAUUGUUGUUGUAAAUUACGUCAUCAGCUGGUUGUUGGUUUAUGGGUCCUCCCACUUGCUGGCAAUUGCUGCAACUUUUUGACACUAUUCAACAGAUGUAAGUGCAAAAUUUCUAGGUGACCCAUUGGGCCUUUUGUACUCCCUCCGUUUCACAAUAAGUUUAUCAUGUUUUUCCAUUUUUACCCAGACACAUGAUCAUCAUUCUCAAUGCAUAUUUAAUGGAGGGUAAAUUUGAAAAAAAAUUUCAAAAUUUACUUUUAAUUGUGAACCAUUCACUUAUUUUGAAAUACUAAAAUUGCUCUAACAAUUCACUUACUGUGAAACGGAAGGAGUAUUUGUUAUGUAUUCUAAACUGAUAUUGAUACUGAUUGUAUCUUCCUCUCAAUGCAACAGCAUUCAUGCUACUCUAUACAGUUCCUGUUCUUUAAGAUAAAGUGUGUCCAUUUGUUGAGAAAGCAGUGCAAAAGAUCAAGAAACAAUACGUUGUCCAUUUGUAGAUUUUUUUUUUUGCUUUCUUCUUUUCUCAUUUUUACUUAUUUUAUUAUAUUACUUUAUAAAAUAUUAAAAAUUAAAGAUUCACGUAAAUUAAAUUUAUGGAUAACGGCUCAAA